Molecule: transfer RNA, 77 nt
Filed under: Caudoviricetes sp.
Lineage: Duplodnaviria; Heunggongvirae; Uroviricota; Caudoviricetes
Description: tRNA-Met
Rfam family: tRNA
About the family: Transfer RNA (tRNA) molecules are approximately 80 nucleotides in length. Their secondary structure includes four short double-helical elements and three loops (D, anti-codon, and T loops). Further hydrogen bonds mediate the characteristic L-shaped molecular structure. tRNAs have two regions of fundamental functional importance: the anti-codon, which is responsible for specific mRNA codon recognition, and the 3' end, to which the tRNAs corresponding amino acid is attached (by aminoacyl-tRNA synthetases). tRNAs cope with the degeneracy of the genetic code in two manners: having more than one tRNA (with a specific anti-codon) for a particular amino acid; and 'wobble' base-pairing, i.e. permitting non-standard base-pairing at the 3rd anti-codon position.
Source: RNAcentral
AGCGGAAUAGAGAAACCCGGAAUCUCGCAUGGCUCAUAACCAUGAAAUUGCUGGUUCAAAUCCGGCUUCCGCAACCA